Molecule: ribosomal RNA, 1342 nt
Filed under: uncultured bacterium
Lineage: Bacteria
Description: 16S ribosomal RNA
Rfam family: Bacterial small subunit ribosomal RNA
Source: RNAcentral
GACGAACGCUGGCGGCGUGCUUAACACAUGCAAGUCGAACGGAAAGGCCCUGCUUUUGUGGGGUGCUCGAGUGGCGAACGGGUGAGUAACACGUGAGUAACCUGCCCUUGACUUUGGGAUAACUUCAGGAAACUGGGGCUAAUACCGGAUAGGAGCUCCUGCUGCAUGGUGGGGGUUGGAAAGUUUCGGCGGUUGGGGAUGGACUCGCGGCUUAUCAGCUUGUUGGUGGGGUAGUGGCUUACCAAGGCUUUGACGGGUAGCCGGCCUGAGAGGGUGACCGGCCACAUUGGGACUGAGAUACGGCCCAGACUCCUACGGGAGGCAGCAGUGGGGAAUAUUGCACAAUGGGCGGAAGCCUGAUGCAGCAACGCCGCGUGCGGGAUGACGGCCUUCGGGUUGUAAACCGCUUUCGCCUGUGACGAAGCGUGAGUGACGGUAAUGGGUAAAGAAGCACCGGCUAACUACGUGCCAGCAGCCGCGGUGAUACGUAGGGUGCGAGCGUUGUCCGGAUUUAUUGGGCGUAAAGGGCUCGUAGGUGGUUGAUCGCGUCGGAAGUGUAAUCUUGGGGCUUAACCCUGAGCGUGCUUUCGAUACGGGUUGACUUGAGGAAGGUAGGGGAGAAUGGAAUUCCUGGUGGAGCGGUGGAAUGCGCAGAUAUCAGGAGGAACACCAGUGGCGAAGGCGGUUCUCUGGGCCUUUCCUGACGCUGAGGAGCGAAAGCGUGGGGAGCGAACAGGCUUAGAUACCCUGGUAGUCCACGCUGUAAACGGUGGGUACUAGGUGUGGGGUCCAUUCCACGGGUUCCGUGCCGUAGCUAACGCUUUAAGUACCCCGCCUGGGGAGUACGGCCGCAAGGCUAAAACUCAAAGGAAUUGACGGGGCCCGCACAAGCGGCGGAGCAUGCGGAUUAAUUCGAUGCAACGCGUAGAACCUUACCUGGGUUUGACAUGGAUCGGGAGCGCUCAGAGAUGGGUGUGCCUCUUUUGGGGUCGGUUCACAGGUGGUGCAUGGCUGUCGUCAGCUCGUGUCGUGAGAUGUUGGGUUAAGUCCCGCAACGAGCGCAACCCUUGUUCACUGUUGCCAGCACGUUAUGGUGGGGACUCAGUGGAGACCGCCGGGGUCAACUCGGAGGAAGGUGGGGAUGACGUCAAGUCAUCAUGCCCCUUAUGUCCAGGGCUUCACGCAUGCUACAAUGGCUGGUACAGAGAGUGGCGAGCCUGUGAGGGUGAGCGAAUCUCGGAAAGCCGGUCUCAGUUCGGAUUGGGGUCUGCAACUCGACCUCAUGAAGUCGGAGUCGCUAGUAAUCGCAGAUCAGCAACGCUGCGGUGAAUACGUUCCCGGG